UGCUGUUUAAUCAGCUUCUUGAUAUGCCACACCUGUCAGGUGAACAGAUUAACUUGGCAAAGGAGAAAUGCUCACUAACAGUGAUGUAAACAAAUUUGUGCACAAAAUUUGAGAGAAACAAGCUUUUUUGUGCGUAUAGAACAUUUAUGGGAUCUUUAAUUUCAGGUCAUGAAACGUGGGACCAAAACUUUACAUGUUGCGUUUAUAUUUUUGUUCAGUAUGCAUUUUCUGAGUUGUAGUCAUUGGUGCCCACCUUUGCAAAAGGUUUUGCAUCAGGAAAUAAUUGUUUGUAUAUAGUAGUCCUGUUUGGUUCUGUUAUACAUGUUCUGACCAGAGCAUUUGACUGUUUUCUCAUGUUCCAAGACUAGAGGUUUGAUUGCUCUGAGGGCGUAGUCAGUAAUGACACAUUAUCACAUUUAUUAUGACAUAUUAUUUAUCAUCAAACCUGAAUUUAUGCAGCUCUAAUGCAGCUGUAAUCCCUGACAUGUUGCCACAACUACACCACAGACCAAAAUGUGCCAUGCUUCAUUUAGCCCAGGCUGUCACAAACAUCCCUAUGAUUAAUGUCUUAACUGUAUGUGAGUCACUACACCUGUGUACAGGGCUUGACUAAUCCCAAAACCUUUGUGGGGUGUCAAUUGGAGGGAGGGUUGUGUAACAAACACACACUGACUCAUUGUGCUUCUGCAGAAGGGGGAGGUUUCCUGGUUGGAUGGGUGCUCUGAGGUGUACAUGUUCCGCCCCUGGCUCCCUGCGCUGAGAGGCAGCCUCUGCCCUAAGGGUCAAGCUGCACCCUUCUUGAAGGUUCCUUGGGCUGUGUUGGGCAAGGUAAUCACUGCCCCGCUGGGUCGGCUGGAUUCGCUGACACACACAGAAGCUCGAAAGUUACCAAACUUGGAGGGAUUAUUUGUUUAGUUGCACUAAACCACUUCUCUGAUGAGAUUUUUUUGAGUUGUGGUGUUGAAGAAAAAAUAUAAAAGCGACAUGUAAAGUGUUGGUUCCAUGUUUCCUGAGCUAAAAUAAAAGAUCCCAGAAAGGUUCCAUACACACACAUUUUGUGACACUUGUUUACAUUCCUGUUAGUGAGCAUUUCCCCUUUGCCAAGAUAUGCCAUACCUGGCAGGUGGAUGGAUUAUCAAGAAGCUGAUUAAACAGCAGGAUCAUUACAUAGGUGCCCCUUGUGUUGGGGACAAUAAAAGGCCACUCUAAAAUGUGCAGUUUCGACACAACACAAUGCCCCAGAUGUGGGAGUGUGGAAUUGGCAUUUUGACUGCAGGAAUGUCCACCAGAGCUGUCGCCAGAUAGAGAAAUGAACAUUACAUUAUCAUAAGUCACCUCCAAAGACAUUUUAGAGAAUUUGGCAGUACAUCCAACUGGCCUCACAACCGCAGACCACGUGUAUUGAGUGGUUUGCUGAUGUCCACGUUGUGAACAGAGUGCCUAUAUCGGGGUUAUGGUAUGGGCAGGCAUAAGCUACGGACAACAAACACAAUUGCAUUUUACCGAUGGCAAUUUGAAUAUGCACAGAAAUACCAUGGUCAGAUCCUGAGGACCAUUUCUUUUUUUGAGGUAUCUUUGACCAACAGAUGCAUAUCUCUAUUCCCAGUCGUGAAAUUCAUAGAUUAGAGCCUAAUGAACUUAUUUCAAUUGACUGAUUUCCUCAUGAACUAUAACUCAUGAACUAUAAUAUUAAAAGCUUUAUUGUUUCAUGUUGCGUUUAUAUUUUUGUUCCGUAUACGUUGGAUGUAUUCAGCCUGAUGUAUUUACUAGGAUUUAUACUAUACCUAUGAUUCAUACUUCCUCAAUGCUUUCAUUCUCCUGGAGUUGGCAAUGACCUUUUUUAUUUCAACAUUUUGCACACACUUUACACCAAAUCUUGAUUGCUAGCCUACAGGGGCUAGUGGAAUUGUUAUUGUCAAUCAAAAACUUGGUCAGAAUUAAUUAACCUGUCAAUUGUUCAGAAGCUAACAUGUCAAUCUCUAUCACACUUCUGGUUGAAUAUACAUCAACUUUAGAAAGAUUCCAACAGCGCAGUUUUUUCCUCUGUGCAGAUUAGAGAAUGCCUGUUCGAAUAUUUGAUGUCACUCAAGUCAACGCAUUUAUAAUCAUCUAAUUUAAACGAACAGACUGUAAUAGUCACAAGAAUAAUGGACAAUUUUGAUAUGCUUUGAAAUUUGAUACAUUCAAUUAGGAACACGGUCAACUGCAGUUGUCGUCAAAUCUGUGUGAAUUCUCUCAAGAGCCUAUUUCUUGUCGCCUGUCUUUCCAGUCCAAGCCCGGGUGCUCGGAGGCCACCACUACUACACCUUUGAUAGCCUGGUGUUUAAUAACUACCAUGGAAACUACUCUGGUCCAGAAAUGCACCCACGCUAGUACUGCAGAACCCUUCUCUGUAAUGGUGCAAACCGACCAUGCUCAGAACCACUUUUCAUCUAUUAAAGCGCUACAGCUCACUGUGUACAAGGACCACACUGUUAUCCAGAGCGGCUGUUGUUGGGUACGUUAAAAUACACACAUGCACUUUACGUUCAAUAGAAAGUUACAACAGACUCAGUCCGGCUAUAGACCACGCAGUGAUUUUCCUCUGGGCAUGUCUAUUGGUCAACCGUUCUGUAAUUGUUUUCCACCGAGUGAUGGUUUAACAUCCCUUUUGUAAUACGAGUUCACUGGGUCAUUCUCUGGAUGGAUGAUGGGCUGUCUUUGAAUAAUGAUUUGUGUCAAGUUCAAGUGCAUGUCUGUAUGGCAUUUUAGCUAGACUGGGUGAAAAAUGUAGAUUACCGAAUAAAGCUUUUCAGGGAAGAAAUUUUUAAUGAGAUAAAAAAUAAGUUAUGUUUCAGUGGAAUGACUUUGAGGUGGAAUGAUUACUCGGGUUGAUUGCACAAUUUGAGAGCGUCCAAUCACAUGUUCCAAUGCCAUUUUAGUUCAUCAUUGCCUAUUGACACAUUUGAUUAUAUUAAUUAUUCCACACAAGUAAAUGUUUACAUGAAAUACAUCCACCCUCUACUCUGAAAUGACAAUUUGUCUCCUUUCUCUCCCUUCUCUGGUUGUGAGGCCAGUUGGAUCUUUCGGUGAAGAUCCAUCAGAGCAGUCUGUUCUCGGUCGUUGACACCAGCUUCGGCCUCCAUGUCAAAUAGGACUGGUUCUACUACAUCCUGGUAAGCCUGCCCAGGAGAAGCUCUGACGUGUGGCAACAACCAUGGCAACAAGGACAAUGACCUUCACAUACCAGAGGGUGCUACUGCUAUGGAUGAGGCGGCCUUCGGCUGGAGCUGGAGGAGGGUCUUGGACUAGGAGGGUCAGUCCUGCCAUGUGGACUGUGGAGGUCCCUGCUCCGACACGGAUCUACAGUACAGUAAGGAAAGCUCCAGGACGUCUGGGAUCUGGUCGCAGCAAAACCCUCUCAGUUGGUGCCAUGAUUUGGUGGACCCUAGGGCCUAAUGUCAUCAGUAAGGGCAAGAACCAGGAAGUCCUGUGCCAGAAUCUGCAGGCCUACACAGGUGCUUGUCAGUCCUCCCAGGUUCCCAUCAAGCCAUGAAGGAGCAGCACCUUCUGCCACAGAGCCUGUCCAAAAGGGACAAGGAGUGUGGUGUUCACCUAACACGGCUCUGGUCCUACUCUCAUCUGCAAAUGUUGGCUCAACAAAACUGUGGCGCUGCCUGCAGACCACUGGGAGAACUGCUUCUGUGAACCAGGCCUGGUGCUCAGUGGCACCCUCUGUGUCCAGCCCGAGGACUGCGGCCACUUCCACCAUGAAGAGUACCUGGUGUAGUCCUGUGAGAAGAGAUGUGCGUUCCGUGCAGGUGGACACGUCUUGCCAUAAAAUCUCCAAUUGGGAGGGGGAGGAGUGUGGUGUUCAGAAGGUAGUACAUGGCAGCUAUCCAAGGCCCAGAGUGGCACACUGUCGAGCUUCUUAUGGCUGAGGGGCAGUAUUGAGUAGCUUGGCUGAAUAAGUUGCCCAAAGUAAACAGCCUGCUCCUCAGUCUCAGUUGCUAAUAUAUGCAUAUUAUUAUUAGUAUUGGAUAGAAAACACUAAAGUUUCUAAAACUGUUUGAAUGAUGUCUGUGAGUAUAACAGAACUCAUACGGCAGGCAAAAUCCUGAGAAGAAAUCAAAACAGGAAAUGAGAAUUCUGAGCUUUGUAUGUAUUCACCAGAGUCCCCAUUGAAAUCCCCUUGAGAUAUUAAUGUUGCACUGCCUAGGGGUUCCACUAGAUGUCAACCAUCUAUAGAAAUUUGAAUGAGACUUCUAUGGUGUUGUGGGAGUGAAUGAGAGCAGAAUCUGUCAGUCGUCUGCCAGUCAGCCAUUUUCUGAUCAUGCUUAUUCCUCAUGGUAUCCACUUGCGUCCCAUUGCUCAUGAAGACACAAAGGAAUACUCCGGUUGAAACUUUAUUGAAGCUAUAUGUUAAAAACAUCCUAGUGAUUGAAUCUGUACUUAGUUUGAAAUGUUUCUUCGGCCUGUAAUAUAUAUUUUUGAAGUUUUUGUCCGAUGUAACGCUGACCAGAAUGAGCGUUUGGAUAUGUAUCCAAAACGAGCUAACAAAAUAAGGUAUUUGGACAUAAAUAACGGACAUUAUCGAACAAAACAAACAUUUAUUGUAGACCUGGGAUUCCUGGAGUGCUUUCUGAUGUAGAUCAUCAAAGGGAAUAUUUAUCAUGUAAUUUCUUGUUUAUGUUGACGCCAUCAUUGCGGCUAUUGUGACUUUUAAUUCUGAGUGCCGUCUCAGAUUAUUGCAUGGGUUUCUUUUUCUGUAAAGUUUUUUAAAAAUCUGACAGGUUGCAUUAAGGAGAGGUAUAUCUAUAAUUCCAUGUGUAUAAUUUGUAUUAUAAUAUACAUUUAUGAUAAGUAUUUCUGUUGAAUGAUGUGGCUAUGCAAAAUCACUGGCUGUUUUUGGAACUAGUGAAUGUAACGUGCCAAUGUAAACUCAUAUUUUGAUAAAUAUGAACUUCAUCAAACAAAA
This is a long non-coding RNA of Oncorhynchus nerka (sockeye salmon), 4957 nucleotides long. RefSeq lists it as uncharacterized. The transcript has 2 exons. The record is from RefSeq and is a predicted model, not a curated record. NCBI's taxonomy places the organism in Eukaryota, Metazoa, Chordata, Actinopteri, Salmoniformes, Salmonidae.